UCCCUGGUGGCUCAGAUGGUAAAGAAUAUGCCUGCAAUGCAGGAGAUCUGGGUUUGAUUCCUGGCUUGGGAA
Non-coding RNA from Bos taurus (domestic cattle), 72 nucleotides. The record is from Rfam. NCBI's taxonomy places the organism in Eukaryota, Metazoa, Chordata, Mammalia, Artiodactyla, Bovidae.